RNAcentral lists this transfer RNA (69 nucleotides) under Urocitellus parryii (Arctic ground squirrel). Its description in RNAcentral is "Spermophilus parryii (Arctic ground squirrel) tRNA". It matches the Rfam family "tRNA". Rfam says of the family: Transfer RNA (tRNA) molecules are approximately 80 nucleotides in length. Their secondary structure includes four short double-helical elements and three loops (D, anti-codon, and T loops). The record is from Rfam by way of RNAcentral. Lineage: Eukaryota; Metazoa; Chordata; Mammalia; Rodentia; Sciuridae. RNAcentral also lists the same sequence under 1 other name.
GGGGCUGUAGCUCAGUGGCAGAGUGUUUGCCUAGAAUGCAUGAGGCACUGGGUUUGAUCCUCAGCACCA